RNAcentral lists this long non-coding RNA (1096 nucleotides) under Pogona vitticeps (central bearded dragon). RNAcentral describes it as "lncRNA (ENSPVIG00000023625.1)". Lineage: Eukaryota; Metazoa; Chordata; Lepidosauria; Squamata; Agamidae. The record is from RNAcentral.
AUGGCAAAAAGUCAAGAAAAAUUCUCCUCCUCCCCUCCUUGGACUUCUGAGAAUAUAUAUAAGGAUAUAAACAAAGCUACCGUACGCCCAGAAAGACCUGUAAAAGAACUAGCCUCUUCAAGGAGUAUGAAGGCACACAGUUUCUUGUUCUUUUGUGGAGUUCUGAUGCUGUGUGAUAAUCUGACAUCAGCAGCAGUGAUCAAUAAAUUGGUUCAGCCCGAAAGAUGUCUUCCUAGUCCAAUCGUAUGUACCCGGUACGAACCAGAUAACUGUCAGGACGACUCUGACUGCCCGUUAAACCAGAAGUGCUGUUUUGUUCCUUGCGCUUGGAGUUGUGUGGAUGCUGUGUAAUGGUAACUUGAACAUGAAAUGGAUCAACUUCUUAUGGAAAGAAAACCUAUUUUUUACAUCAGGAGUGGACAAACAUGUUGUGGAGGAGGGCUUCACCAUUGGGUGAGAAAUCCUUCAGAGGUUCCAUGACAGAGCUAGGGCACUGGGGAGCGGGGAUAGGACAUGGAGGGCUACUUAUGCAUGCUUCACCACCUCCUUUACACACAGAGACCCUUCACAUGUGCACAUAGCUGUAUGCAUGCUGUACAAUGCUCAUGAGGACGAAUUUUGUAUCAGACUCAGCAGAUACAGAAGAGGGCUGUUCUCCUUCACCUUUAAAGGAUGUUUUAAGGAGUGAAUUUCAGCAGAUGCUACUACUAAUCGUGCCACAGCCUAUCCAACUGCUGAAAUUUUAUUUCAUACAUCAGGAUUAAAAGGGAAGGAGCCAUAUUUUCCUCUUGAUCCCUCCAUCCAGGCCUUAGAAUUGGGAGCCAAAAAUGGCCGUUGGCCGAUGCUAGUCAGAGGAUACAGAAGAGAAGUUCCCAGUCAUUUCAUAAGCACAAAAAGCAAGGAGACAUUCACAAAAGAAUUUAAAAUAUUUCACUUGUACUAGUCCAUUCCAUACUAUUUUCCAGUUCAAACUUGAAUAUUGAUGAAGUCAAAGGGGGGAAACAUCCAGCAUAUGAAUGAAGGCUAGAAUUUGUAAGAGAUUUGGGGAUGGGAAGCAAUUCAUUGGCAAUAAAUCUUUUCUAUUUCUUUUUCUGCA